GAGCGCCCAUCGUUAAGUUUUUUGAAAUUUUCUGUAUUUUUUCUCAUUAUACUUUGUUAUCAAAGAUUUUCUUCAUACGAGUACAUCUAAGUACUCUUAUUUUAGAAAAUCUUUUCUGCCUCGUCUAAUGAGAAAAACUUUUGAAAAUUAUUCAAAAAAAAGUACUUUAGACAAGCAAGAAAUUAAUCGGAUAAUAAAGUAUUUAAGAUACGAUACAGAAGAAAAUAAAAAUGAAAUUUUAUAGAUAUUUUUUCUUUGUACGAGACGGAGAAAAUUUUCAGAAAUGAGUGUAUACAGAUGUACACGAUUUAUGGAAAAUUUUAGACAACGAAGUAGAAAGGAAUAAAUAGCAGAAAAUUUAACGAUGGGAGCGGCGGACGGGUGAGUAACGCGUAGACAACCUACCUAUAUCAAAGGGAUAGCUCCGGGAAACUGGGAUUAAUACCUUAUAAUGCAGUUUUUUCGCAUGAGGAGAUUGCCAAAGAUUUAUCGGAUAUAGAUGGGUUCGCGUAUGAUUAGUUUGUUGGUGAGGUAAUGGCUCACCAAGACUACGAUCAUUAGCCGAGUUGAGAGACUGAACGGCCACAUUGGAACUGAGACACGGUCCAAACUCCUACGGGAGGCAGCAGUGGGGAAUAUUGCACAAUGGGCGCAAGCCUGAUGCAGCAACGCCGUGUGAGCGAAGAAGGUCCUUUGGAUUGUAAAGCUCUGUCCUAAAGGAAGAAUGAUGACGGUACUUUAGGAGGAAGCCCCGGCUAACUACGUGCCAGCAGCCGCGGUAAUACGUAGGGGGCAAGCGUUAUCCGGAUUUAUUGGGCGUAAAGAGUACGUAGGUGGUCUAGAAAGUGUAUGGUGAAAGGCAGUGGCUCAACCAUUGUAAGCCUUGCAAACUUCUAGACUUGAGUACAGGAGAGGUAAGCGGAAUUCCUAGUGUAGCGGUGAAAUGCGUAGAUAUUAGGAGGAACACCAGCGGCGAAGGCGGCUUACUGGACUGUAACUGACACUGAGGUACGAAAGCGUGGGUAGCAAACAGGAUUAGAUACCCUGGUAGUCCACGCCGUAAACGAUGAGCACUAGAUGUCGGAUUUUUUCGGUAUCGCAGUUAACGCAUUAAGUGCUCCGCCUGGGGAGUACGCACGCAAGUGUAAAACUCAAAGGAAUUGACGGGGACCCGCACAAGCAGCGGAGCAUGUGGUUUAAUUCGACGCAACGCGAAGAACCUUACCAGGGCUUGACAUCCCACUGACAGGAGUUUAAUAGCUCCCUUCUUCGGACAGUGGUGACAGGUGGUGCAUGGUUGUCGUCAGCUCGUGUCGUGAGAUGUUGGGUUAAGUCCCGCAACGAGCGCAACCCUUGUCUUUAGUUGCCAUCAGUAAGGCUGGGCACUCUAGAGAUACUGCCGUAGAUAAUACGGAGGAAGGUGGGGAUGACGUCAAAUCAUCAUGCCCUUUAUGUCCUGGGCUACACACGUGCUACAAUGGCUGGUACAAAGCGACGCUAAGCCGCGAGGCAGAGCAAAUCACUAAAACCAGUCUCAGUUCGGAUUGCAGGCUGAAACUCGCCUGCAUGAAGUCGGAGUUGCUAGUAAUCCUAGAUCAGCAUGCUAGGGUGAAUGCGUUCCCGGGU
Molecule: ribosomal RNA, 1626 nt
Filed under: uncultured Eubacteriaceae bacterium
Lineage: Bacteria; Bacillati; Bacillota; Clostridia; Eubacteriales; Eubacteriaceae
Description: bacterial SSU rRNA
Rfam family: Bacterial small subunit ribosomal RNA
Source: RNAcentral